Long non-coding RNA from Ictidomys tridecemlineatus (thirteen-lined ground squirrel), 854 nucleotides. RefSeq lists it as uncharacterized. NCBI's taxonomy places the organism in Eukaryota, Metazoa, Chordata, Mammalia, Rodentia, Sciuridae. The record is from RefSeq and is a predicted model, not a curated record.
CGCACUGGAAGGGCGUCUUUAGGCCAGCUUGGUGGCUAAGGUGGCUGCGGCCCCUGGCCGGGGUUCCACCUGCCGUGCCAACUGCAUGCCGUGGUGCUUCCUGCAGUGCCCCAGCCCGCGGUGCUGGGAGCAAACCAAGACCUAGAGAGAUAGCUGCUGUGAAUGCUGGGACAACACAUGGGAACCUUCCACCAAGUGGGGUGAACACAACACACCCAAGGCUGGUGCAGAGAGGCUCAACAAAGGGUUAGAAAGAAGGCGUGGAGCUGGUAUCCAUCCGGAUUGAGGACAGGGGAAAAGCAAAGGGGGAAAUGGUGAAACUAAGAAGAAGACUGCUUAAACCUAAUAAAGACCAUUUAUGAAAAUCGCCCUUGCUAACAUCGCACUCAAUGGAGAAAGAUGGAGAGGUUCUCCCGAGAGGAUCACUUAGAGGAACAAGGGGGGGGGGGCCACUUUCACCCCUUCUGUUAGAACUGCAAGGAGCUGUCAGAGCAAUUAGGCAAGAAAGAAAAGACACCCAAAUUGGAAAGAAAAAAGAUUAUCUCCAUUGUUGAGGGCCACAGCUGAGUCAGGAUGACGAAUGGCAUAUUGCCAGAAGGGAGUGGUUGAGAGGUAACAGCAGGGAGCCAUUGAGAUAAUGAUGGUUAUAUUAAGCUGUGUAUUCAAUUGUAUAUUUGACCUUUACUGUCCAGGCAAUAGGGAGGCUCUUGCUGCACUUUGGAGUUCCCAUGGAGUUCUCUUGGGGUUCCGAGGGAGAGUGCACACUGACCCUGGUGGAGGGUGAGAGUGUUCCCGGGGAGUGUGUGUGGAGUGCUGGUAGAGUUCGGCAAUAAAGAGUUGCUGUUUUGAACCUA